GCCGCUCCCAUUGGCUGUCACAGCCGGGGCGCAGCAGCUGCUCCUGCAGGAUCGGGGCGUCCACUCCGUCACCUUUUCACUUUAACCCACAAGUUUAAUCCUCAUUUCAUACAGUCCGUGGUUUGAUCAGAAGGUUCCGGAGGCGGAAGGCGCCAUUUUAAAGUUCGCUCUGCUGGAUUCACCAUCUGAUCCUGAUUAACACCGACCCGGGAGGAGGAGGAGGAGGAGGAGGAGCAGCGGUCAGCUGAUCCCACAUCCUGUUUGGAUGUGAACUCUGUCAUUAGCUUCACUUUAGGUUUUACUGCUGUGGGUCGAUAGUGGAGCUGCAGAGUUUGUGUCCUCAGUCAGAUCAGUUAGGUGGAGUCAGACAGACACAGAGACAGGUAGGAGGACAGACAGGGGUACCUGAUGGGGAACAGUGCGCUGAAGUCUCACCUGGAGACCUCCCAGAAGACGGGGGUGUUCCAGCUGACGGCGAAGGGUCUGCAGGAGUUUCCGGAGGAGCUGCAGAGACUCACCGGCAACCUGCGGACGGUGGAUCUGUCCGGGAACAAGAUCGAGGUUCUUCCUGCCGCCGUCGGAAACUUCCUGCAGCUCAAGAGUCUGACGCUCAACUCCAACAGACUCAACUGCAUCCCCCCCGAGAUCUCCAAGCUCAAGAAGCUGGAGACUCUGAGUCUGAAUGGAAACCAGAUCCAGCAGCUGCCCCCCACUCUGGGCCAGCUCAAAGCUCUGCGGACCCUCAACCUGUCCGGGAACCAGAUCUCCGAGUUCCCCGCCGGACUGGGAACCCUGAGGCAUUUGGACCUGCUGGACCUGUCCCGCAACCAGAUCCGCAUCGUCCCCGCAGAGGUGUCGGAGCUGCAGGCCAUUGAGAUCAACCUGAACCAGAACCAGACUGUUCCUCUCCUCCAGAUCUCCGUGCUGUCGGCGGAGGUGUCUCGCUGUCCCCGUCUGAAGGUCCUGCGCCUGGAGGAGAACUGCCUGGAGCUGUCCUCCAUCCCGCAGUCCGUCCUGAAGGACUCCCAGGUGUCUCUGUUCUCUCUGGAGGGAAACCUGUUCGAGGUGAAGAAUCUCAGAGACCUGGAGGGAUACGACAAGUACAUGGAGCGUUUCACGGCCACCAAGAAGAAGUUUGCCUGAAGACGCUCAAUGACGAGUCUGAGCCUCAGUGCGUCACCUGGAGGCGGAGUCAGCCAAGACCCCACCCACCACAGCUUCUUCUUCUGCUGCUAAAAACAGACCUCACACAGCCGGGACAGUCCUCCUAACAGCCCCCCCACCCCCACCCAGGCUGCUGGACUGCGACAAAGAUAACAUACUAAAAUCUGCAGAUCUUCAGUGGAAAGAAGUAUUAGCAGCAGAAUGGGUUCAUUUAAUUUAAUGGGUUUUUAUUAUUCAUUUCCGUCUGAUCUCUUUAACAAAGUUUCAUCUGGAACAAUAAAGAUUUUAUAAGCUGA
Micropterus salmoides (largemouth bass) is the source of this 1460-nucleotide RNA transcript. It is a transcript of the gene named leucine-rich repeat-containing protein 57-like, with no coding region annotated. The transcript is spliced from 7 exons. NCBI's taxonomy places the organism in Eukaryota, Metazoa, Chordata, Actinopteri, Centrarchiformes, Centrarchidae. The record is from RefSeq and is a predicted model, not a curated record.